Molecule: ribosomal RNA, 460 nt
Filed under: uncultured bacterium
Lineage: Bacteria
Description: partial 16S ribosomal RNA
Rfam family: Bacterial small subunit ribosomal RNA
Source: RNAcentral
CCUACGGGAGGCAGCAGUGAGGAAUAUUGGUCAAUGGGCGGAAGCCUGAACCAGCCAAGUAGCGUGCAGGAUGACGGCCCUACGGGUUGUCAACUGCUUUUAUACGGGAAUCACGCGCCUUACGUGUAGGGCUUUGCAUGUACCGUAUGAAUCAGGACCGGCUAAUUCCGUGCCAGCAGCCGCGGUAAUACGGAAGGUCCGGCCGUUAUCCGGAUUUAUUGGGUUUAAAGGGUGCGUAGGCCGCAUGUCAAGCGUGCUGGGCAAUGUCCGGGCUCAACCCGGGCCUUGCAGGGGGAACUGGCGUGCGUGAGUCCGCGGAAAGCAGGCGGAAUUCGGCGUGUAGCGGUGAAAGGCUUAGAUAUGACGAAGAACCCCGAUUGCGAAGGCAGCUUGCUGCAGCGGAACUGACGCUGAUGCUCGAAAGCGCGGGUAUCGAACAGGAUUAGAUACCCGAGUAGUC